UCGAAUCAUUUGUGUCAGUUAACUGAAGAUUUUAUUAGUACUUUCACUGGUGCAUAAGAUUUCGUUGGUUACACGUAAUGACAGAGCACUGCGAAACGUAUCUUUAGCGUGUCUCUUUCCGGUGAUGGCUGCCGGGUGUACUGAGCCGUCAAAAUGGCGGCUGGGUGAGAGAUGCGCUAUGGGCCGGCAAGAAAAUGAGCGGUUUCUACGACUGCAGCGAGGAUAUGACAACCGGUCGCUAUCGCACAAAGAAGGUCUACCACGCCGAUGAGACUGGCUUGUUUCCUGUGUCCGUCUCCGACGAUAUACAGGCCAGCAGGAAAGGCAGUUUGACAUUUGGAUGUAAGAUGUUGACCCAAGGACCAAUGCCUGGUGAAGGGUCUCCUUUCAAACGGAUGGACAGAUGAACACCAGCAACCACUGCAAAAAGGAUAGGCCUAUACACAACAACUGUGGAGUGUGUCCUUUCAGCUGGAUGGGAAGAAGACCACCAGAAACUAUUGCACAAAGGGUAGGCUUAUACAACAACCUAAGAGACCUUUGCUCUGUGGAGCGUCUCCUUUCAAAUGGAUGGGCAGACGAACACCAGCAACCACUGCACAAAAAGUAUGCAACAGCCCAUGGGACGUAUACUAUGUGCAGUGUCUCCUUUCAGCUGGAUGGGUGUGUGAACACCAGCAACUACUGCACAGAGGGUAGGCUUAUACAAAAACUCAAGGGACCUACGCUCUAUGUAGUGUCUCGUUUCAAAAGGAUGUACAGAUAAAUGUCAGCAACCACCGCACAAAGGGUACACAACGACACAAGGGACCUACGCUCCAUGGAAUGUCUCCUUUCAAAUGGAUGAGUGCAUGAACACCAGCAACCACUGCAAAAAGGGUAUAAACAAUCCGAUGUGGAAAAAUUUAAACAGAAGGCUCCUGAUGAUAUGGAAACAGAGCAAAGACAAUGGAAGCUAUUCAGAGGUGUCUCCAUUCUGAAUUACAGUUGGACAGGACAUCCACCAACAUGGUAGGAAGAAAAUGUCCAACUCCUACCGAUUAUGUUACAGUAAGGAAUGCCACUUGUUCUCAAUGUGACUAAACAGGGCGAUAAGGCAUGGAAUGCAAUGAAGUACGUGGUAUGUAUAGAGAAAAGGGCAGGAUGCCAGUGCCAAGCAGAAGUUGGAAGAAUAAGGGAAAAUUAGAGGCGACAAAGCUGUGCAGUCGAACACGGUCGCAGUAAAUAAGCCUACAGUGUGAAUAAUAGGCAGAUAAGCCCACAGUCUGAACAGUAGACUGUGCCACAGAAAACGAUGUAUUAGAAAGUAUUGUGCGCGACUGAGGAAGCAAUUGAAGUUACUGUCAGAUACAGGGGCACAUCUGUUAAGAAAACAAAUAUUCCUCUUAUUUGUAAUGCUAGAAUACAUGAAGCAGGAGUACCUUGGCUGAGAAGUGUCCGCAGCGAAGCACUAUGUAGGAGUGAGUGCUGUGUCUUGAAGAUAGUGUACCUAGGAAGAAAUGAUGUUUCGAGAUCAGUAUAUCCAGUUAGUGACCGUUUCUAGAAUCACAUGAGGGUAUGGGUGGUGGAGACCCCCAUAACUGGUUUCUGACGUUUUUUAUUGUUUUUGUUGUUGCUAGACUUGAGGUUGUGUUUUGUGCUGCAACUGUAAAUAUUUCGCCUGUAAACAUUUUCAGAGCUACAUA
Molecule: long non-coding RNA, 1685 nt
Organism: Schistocerca piceifrons (Central American locust)
Lineage: Eukaryota; Metazoa; Arthropoda; Insecta; Orthoptera; Acrididae
Exons: 3
Source: RefSeq, a predicted model, not a curated record